GACGAACGCUGGCGGCAGGCCUAACACAUGCAAGUCGAGCGCGCCCUCCGGGGUGAGCGGCGGACGGGGGGGUAACACGUGGGAACGUGCCCUUGUCUACGGUAUAGCCUCGGGAAACAGAGAGUAAUAACGCAUACGCUCUUAGGGGGAAGGAUCUCUCGGAACAGGAUCGGGCCGGGUUGGAUUAGGUGGUUGGUGGGGGAAUGGCCGACCAAGAGGACGUUGCAUAGCUGGUGGGGUAGGAUGACCAGCUAGGCUGGGACUGAGACACGGACCAGACUCCUACGGAAAGCAGCAGUGGGGAAUCUUAGGCAAGGAGGGCAACCCUGAUCUAGCCAUGCCGCGUGAGUGAUGAAGGCCUUAGGGUUGUAAAGCUCUUUCAGCUGAGAAGAUAGUGACGGUACCAGCAGAAGAAGCACCGGCUAACUCCGUG
This 433-nucleotide ribosomal RNA is filed under the name uncultured bacterium. RNAcentral's name for it is "partial 16S ribosomal RNA". It matches the Rfam family "Bacterial small subunit ribosomal RNA", at positions 28 to 507 of the family's 1533-position model. The record is from RNAcentral.